AAAGCUGAAGGAGACGAGGAAAGAUUAGCCUGUAAAUCUAAACCAGGAUGACGAGCAUGAGAAAAUAAUGAACAACAGCUCUACAUACACUGCGAAGAUUUCCCGUGGAGCAAGCAGCGACAUCUUCUUCCAGGGAGCACUUGUACAGAACAUGCGUUCGCCGUCACAGCCUGCCUCUCAUCAGGGUCCAGUAUCCACUGGCACAUUGCUCUCUGGACAGUAACCAAUAGCACUACUUGUCAGAUGAACUGACAAAUGCUCAUCAGGAAAAAUAUGCAAACUAAUCUGAACAAAAGCUCAUCAAUAAAACUGCAAUCGUGUAAUUUGUGGCACCUCAAAAUCUCCAGAGAGCUCUGACUGCAGGCGUUGCAGUAGGCUUUCGUUGUA
Molecule: long non-coding RNA, 387 nt
Organism: Panicum virgatum (switchgrass)
Lineage: Eukaryota; Viridiplantae; Streptophyta; Magnoliopsida; Poales; Poaceae
Exons: 2
Source: RefSeq, a predicted model, not a curated record